CACUGCUGAAAAGUGUUGAGAAUUAAAAUGACUCAAUGAAUACAAAGUGGUGUAACCUGAACUAUUGGUGUCUGAUUAAUAAAUGAAGAUAGGAAACUCAUACUUUGUGUUUUUACUCAGGUGUU
This is a long non-coding RNA of Etheostoma spectabile (orangethroat darter), 125 nucleotides long. RefSeq lists it as uncharacterized. The record is from RefSeq and is a predicted model, not a curated record. The transcript has 3 exons. NCBI's taxonomy places the organism in Eukaryota, Metazoa, Chordata, Actinopteri, Perciformes, Percidae.